Molecule: ribosomal RNA, 301 nt
Filed under: uncultured bacterium
Lineage: Bacteria
Description: partial 16S ribosomal RNA
Rfam family: Bacterial small subunit ribosomal RNA
Source: RNAcentral
CAGCAGCCGCGGUAAUACGUAGGGUGCGAGCGUUAAUCGGAAUUACUGGGCGUAAAGCGUGCGCAGGCGGUUUUGUAAGACAGGCGUGAAAUCCCCGGGCUCAACCUGGGAAUGGCGCUUGUGACUGCAAAGCUAGAGUGCGGCAGAGGGGGAUGGAAUUCCACGUGUGGCAGUGAAAUGCGUAGAGAUGUGGAGGAAUACCGAUGGCGAGGGCAGCCCCCUGGGCCAAUACUGACGCUCAUGCACGAAAGCGUGGGGAGCAAACAGGAUUAGAUACCCCCGUAGUCCCUGUCUCUUAUAC